Phoenix dactylifera (date palm) is the source of this 533-nucleotide non-coding RNA. Lineage: Eukaryota; Viridiplantae; Streptophyta; Magnoliopsida; Arecales; Arecaceae. The record is from RefSeq and is a predicted model, not a curated record.
CUCCCUCGCUGAGAGCCGCCGCCGCCGCCGCCCCCGCCCCCCCUUUUCCCUCGCUGAGAGCCUGAUAGCCGCCUCCUCUCGGUGUCGUCGCCUCUUCAACGACCGGCCGGCGGCUCUUCGCGUCCUUCUCCCCCGGACGGCAACCUCCGCGGCUCCGGUCACCGACUCACAACCUCCCCGGACGGAAUAAUGGAAAGUGGUGGAAAGUGGUGUUGCUUCAUGGUUGUGAGUUAUUUCCAGUGUGCAAUCAAGAAGCUGGUCAAAAAGCUUGCUAAGAAGUACCAUGCUUUCCUAGCAUCAGAGGCGAUCAUGUAUAUUCACAUUUGUUCUAUGUGAAGCAGAUAGUAUUCCAUAUGUAAAUUUGGAUGAUUUGACUUGUAUUCCUUGUCUUUGUAAAGAUUAAAUGCUUUUUGAAUAUUGCUGGUAUUAGAUGAAUGAACAGAUAACUUGUAAAGGUUAAUUCCUUAUGUUCAGCUUUUUGUAAAGAUUGAAUGCCUUCUUAAUGUCAAUGAUGCUGGGACAAGAUUGAAUGA